CCUACGGGUGACAGCAGUGAGGAAUAUUGGUCAAUGGGCGCGAGCCUGAACCAGCCAAGUAGCGUGAAGGAUGACUGCCCUACGGGUUGUAAACUUCUUUUAUAAAGGAAUAAAGUGAGGCACGUGUGCCUUUUUGUAUGUACUUUAUGAAUAAGGCUCGGCUAACUCCGUGCCAGCAGCCGCGGUAAUACGGAGGAUCCGAGCGUUAUCCGGAUUUAUUGGGUUUAAAGGGAGCGUAGAUGGGUUGUUAAGUCAGUUGUGAAAGUUUGCGGCUCAACCGUAAAAUUGCAAUUGAUACUGGCAGUCUGGAGUACAGGAGAGGUGAGCGGAAUUCGGGGUGUAGCGGUGAAAUGCUUAGAUAUCACGAAGAACUCCGAUGGCGAAGGCAGCUCACUGGACUGCAACUGACACUGAGGCUCGAAAGUGUGGGGAGCAAACAGGAUUAGAUACCCGAGUAGUC
Molecule: ribosomal RNA, 460 nt
Filed under: uncultured bacterium
Lineage: Bacteria
Description: partial 16S ribosomal RNA
Rfam family: Bacterial small subunit ribosomal RNA
Source: RNAcentral